CAGGUUUACCUGUGUGACUGCGUACCUUUUGUAUAAUGGGUCAGCGACUUAUAUUCUGUAGCAAGGUUAACCGUAUAGGGGAGCCGUAGGGAAACCGAGUCUUAACCGGGCGUUAAGUUGCAGGGUAUAGACCCGAAACCCGGUGAUCUAGCCAUGGGCAGGUUGAAGGUUGGGUAACACUAACUGGAGGACCGAACCGACUAAUGUUGAAAAAUUAGCGGAUGACCUGUGGCUGGGGGUGAAAGGCCAAUCAAACCGGGAGAUAGCUGGUUCUCCCCGAAAGCUAUUUAGGUAGCGCCUCGUGAAUUCAUCUCCGGGGGUAGAGCACUGUUUCGGCUAGGGGGCCAUCCCGGCUUACCAACCCGAUGCAAACUGCGAAUACCGGAGAAUGUUAUCACGGGAGACACACGGCGGGUGCUAACGUCCGUCGUGAAGAGGGAAACAACCCAGACCGCCAGCUAAGGUCCCAAAGUCAUGGUUAAGUGGGAAACGAUGUGGGAAGGCCCAGACAGCCAGGAUGUUGGCUUAGAAGCAGCCAUCAUUUAAAGAAAGCGUAAUAGCUCACUGGUCGAGUCGGCCUGCGCGGAAGAUGUAACGGGGCUAAACCAUGCACCGAAGCUGCGGCAGCGACGCUGAUGCGUUGUUGGGUAGGGGAGCGUUCUGUAAGCCUGCGAAGGUGGCCUGUGAGGGUUGCUG
RNAcentral lists this ribosomal RNA (696 nucleotides) under Salmonella enterica. RNAcentral's name for it is "partial 23S ribosomal RNA". It matches the Rfam family "Bacterial large subunit ribosomal RNA", at positions 580 to 1275 of the family's 2925-position model. Lineage: Bacteria; Pseudomonadati; Pseudomonadota; Gammaproteobacteria; Enterobacterales; Enterobacteriaceae. The record is from RNAcentral. RNAcentral also lists the same sequence under 1 other name.